Molecule: long non-coding RNA, 2404 nt
Organism: Mytilus trossulus (common blue mussel)
Lineage: Eukaryota; Metazoa; Mollusca; Bivalvia; Mytilida; Mytilidae
Exons: 7
Source: RefSeq, a predicted model, not a curated record
UAUUGAAGUCAAACAAUUUCUAUACAUUUUCUAGAAAUAUUUGUUAAAUGUACAUAUUCAUCCUUAUUUUCUGCAUGAAAAACAUCUUUCAAUAAUUUAUUUACCAGUUUAAUAUUUUGGGAUACCAUUGUCAAGGGGUACAAUCAAAAUCACAUGAUGGAUAUACACACACCGGAAGUAACAGUCGAGCAGACCGCUUGAAAGGUACUUUCUGUGGCAUGUUUUCAUGGUGUGGGAAUAAGACUUGGUGGUCAAAUACAGCUAAUAUGUAGGUUAGCACCACAGCUUGUCUGCAAGGAUUGAAGCUGGGAAACGGCCAUUGGAGCUGAAUUUUAUGGAAGCUGUGGCUGCAGCAAUGAUUAUGUGAUAAAACUGAAGAAUGUUAUUCAAAUUUUUUUUGUAUAUAUUUCAAAAAAUGUAAUUUUUUAUAAAAAAAAAAAAAAAAAAAAAAAAAAGGUGUAAAGAUUCUCCAUUUUCAAUUAGAUUGGAAGCUUGUAUUUACAAUUGUUAGAUCUUCUUCGUUAUUCCCCCACCCCCUGUAUCUCUAUUUCAUUUUUACUUUGAAAAUGAAAUGGAACAGACAAAUUUUACUUGUCAACUUAAUAAUGGUCUGUCUAGUCAAAAGGCCUCCAGUUGGUUUAGAAUGGAGAAUCUAAAAAAAAUAUGUAAAGUGUUUUUUUUUAGUUUCCUGAAUUUUUAUAUACAUUUUGUUAUUGCUCCCUUUCAAUUUUUAUAAAUUCCAGAUUUUAAGUUUUGGAUUUAUGGGGCUUUAUUCAUAAAAAAGGGGGAUUUUUCACACCUGGACAAUAACUCAAAAAGGCUUUCACCAAUGUCCAUGAAACUUUGGUGAAUUGUUUAUAUCUAUUGACAUCAGCUCACUUUCCCUUUUUAUUAAUUUACGUUUUCUUAAGUAAUGAAUUUUUAUAGUUAAAAAAGGGGGGUUUUAUGCAGUUUUGGUGAAACUUAAAAGAGCAACGGCCGUAUCAUGUGCUAAAGCGCAUCCCUUUAUUGAAAUGUGUUGUAGUUUUUACAUAUUAUUAUUUCUUUAUUUUAAUAAUACAAAUUUUGUAUUGUUAAAUAUUUAAAGGGUGUGGAGUCUCAACAGGGUGAAAUUUUCAGGACAAAAGGGAGGUAAUUCCUUUAUAGUUAUACUCAUUAUACUUGAAAUUUCCUGAGUGUUUAUAUGGAAUAUAACUUUUUUAAUUAAAAUAUUCACUUUUGUACACAUUUUCUUUAAAUAUCAGAUGUAUACUUGCUAAAAUUACUUUUAUUUAGAGUUCUGUAAAUAAAAAAAAAUGUAAGCAGAGCUCUAGCUAUAGAUAAUAGAUUUGGAGGGUGGGAGAAAUUGUGGGUAACUACAAUUGAUAAGGUGAAAUUUCAAAAGACUUAAAAAGUGCAUCUGAUAUUUAUUUUUACAUAAUGUUAUUUCUGAAAGCAAAUGGACAAUAAGAUGAGGACAUAAACCACCUUCCAGGUUAGGAUAGCAGCUCUUAAGGAAGAUGGUCAAUUAAAUCUUCAACCCAGUCUGAGGCCUUACCAUGAAAAAUAUGUGGUUGUUGAAAUUACAAUGUUUUCAUGGUGUCGGGAGUAAGACUUGAAAAUCUGAUAUUGUUAACUUGAUGGUUAGCAUCACAAGUUUCCUUUGGGUAACUUGCUUGAGGAGUAAAGAGAGCUGUUUAAGUUGAAAGUGUCACCUUUGCUGCCUUGUGUGGUACAAUCUUCAGACAAUAUCCUGCAAACCGUGGCUGAACUGUUACUAUCUUUUUUUAGUAGAAUCCUUAGACAGUAAUCUUGUGGCAGAAUGAGUUGUAAACAAAUUGUUUUUAUUCCUGUAUUGAGUUUCAAAUUGGAUAUUUUUUUAUUUAUAUUAUUUGUAUUCCAUUUGCAUUCAAUUAUUGUUUUUUAAUUGAUGAAUCAUUAAAACUUAAAUUUUGUGGGGUCCUAAAGGACUUUCUUAGAGGGGGCCAGCGCAAUUGAUUAAACAAAUUUUUUCCCGCAACAGGGAGAGGAGACAUCCCCAUAAAUAUGCCUUUGAAAUGGGGUGUUAAAGAAGAUUUGUAUUGUUUGUUUGUUUGUCCAUCAUCAGCUCUCAUCCACAGCUUGGUAGAUUUUCAUUGAAACUUUCAGCUGAUUUUCUGUACUAAAAUCAGUAUGUUUUUUAAUUUAUUAUAAUGAAAUUUUGGGUUUUCCCAACCUUUUUGAAGUGAAAACAAUGGAACACAGUGUUGGCAGAUACUGAAGAUUAUUUGAAAGUUUAGAGAAAGUCCCAUUUAAUCUUGAUAAUUGUGGGUUAAAGUUGUAGAUGGAUAAACAAACAUAUCAUACACUUACUCACUUUACCUAUUUGCGAAUCCAGAACUUAACAUAAAGGGGCCCAACACCAGUCAUUUCCUGUACAAUCAAC